GGAGGGUUACCCAAGUGGCUGAAGGGGAGGGUUUGCUAAACCCUUAGUAGGAGCAAUCCUAGCGAGAGUUCGAAUCUCUCACCCUCCG
Molecule: transfer RNA, 88 nt
Filed under: bacterium
Lineage: Bacteria
Description: tRNA-Ser
Rfam family: tRNA
About the family: Transfer RNA (tRNA) molecules are approximately 80 nucleotides in length. Their secondary structure includes four short double-helical elements and three loops (D, anti-codon, and T loops).
Source: RNAcentral